CGAUAUUGCAUCAGCUAGUUGGCGUAGGUAACGGCCCACCAAGGCAACGACGCAUAGCCGGACUAAAAGGUUGUUCGGCCACAUUGGGACUGAGACACUGCCCAGACUCCUACGGGGGGCUGCAGUAACGAAUCUUCCACAAUGCACGAAAGUGUGAUGGAGCGACGCCGCGUGUAGGAUGAAGUCCUUCGGGAUGUAAACUACUGUCAGGGGAAAGAAAGUUCUGAUCUACCCCAGAGGAAGGCACGGCUAACUCUGUGCCAGCAGCCGCGGUAAUA
Molecule: ribosomal RNA, 278 nt
Filed under: uncultured bacterium
Lineage: Bacteria
Description: partial 16S ribosomal RNA
Rfam family: Bacterial small subunit ribosomal RNA
Source: RNAcentral